RNAcentral lists this transfer RNA (69 nucleotides) under Marmota monax (woodchuck). Its description in RNAcentral is "tRNA.Ala". Lineage: Eukaryota; Metazoa; Chordata; Mammalia; Rodentia; Sciuridae. The record is from RNAcentral.
GGAAUGUGGCUCAAGUGGUAGUGCGCUCGCCUGGCAUGUGUAGGGUGCUGGGUUCGAUCCUCAGCACCA